UGAGGUAAUCAGAACAUGCUUAUUACAUGAGGAUAUACACAAAUAGGUAGCUGUCUCACUGCUGUGGUCACACACUCUCAGUGGCUUCAGGGGAAGUACACACAACUAAGCCAAUAGCAUUUCAAUAUUGGUAGACCGUAAGUAGUGAUUGCAAUCAUAUCGUUAGGUAAUUACUACAGUUAAAUGCUACAACAGGACUUCGUGAGAUAAUGCUCACAAUUAAUUAACUUUCCAAUUUAGUUUAGCUCACAUAUACUUAGUGAUUGCCCCAUGAAUCUGCUUUCUUCCACUGAAAUAAGUGAAGAGUUAGUUUUCAAGAGUGCCAACCACAAAUGUGGUGUGACCAAAAACUGUAUAACUUUGAAUGCUGAUGGCAGCAGCUUUGAUUAUGAGGGUAACAACAUCAACAUGUUAAGUACUGUGGAUAGCAAGACAGAGAUGGCAAAACUAGCUAACAAUACUGUCUAUUGCACUACACCCUGAGAGAAAUCAGGAUGGGAGCCAAUAGAUUCCUUUCCUACUUUGUAUCAGACAGCAGUUCUUUCACUUACAUCUGAAGGCAUGUUAAAUUAUAUUAAAUGACAUCAAGAAAAAGCACUGGUGAAGAAACAAAGCUGCGAUGGAAAGUUAUUUUAAAGCUUGGUGUCAUAAGACCUACUUGAUCAUGACAGCUUUUUAAAGACUUGUACUCUGGUCUAACUAGACUAUAUCAAAAGACAGAAUGUUCAUAAUUCUCCAACUAAGAAAACUGUCCUGCUGACUUUGUAUAAAUGAAGUUAAAAAAAAAAAAAAAAAUUCUUGAAAGAGUUCUGAUGGGGUUUGUCCUUGCCUCAGAGAAACACUAUGUCUCCAAACUGAUCCUUGGUGUCUGUAUUUAAUUCCUCCAGUUUUGGAUCCUUAUCUGCUGUUAAUAAAGAAACUGGUUGCUCCAUCCUUCA
This is a long non-coding RNA of Peromyscus leucopus (white-footed mouse), 938 nucleotides long. RefSeq lists it as uncharacterized. NCBI's taxonomy places the organism in Eukaryota, Metazoa, Chordata, Mammalia, Rodentia, Cricetidae. The record is from RefSeq and is a predicted model, not a curated record. The transcript has 2 exons.